RNAcentral lists this ribosomal RNA (575 nucleotides) under uncultured bacterium. RNAcentral's name for it is "partial 16S ribosomal RNA". It matches the Rfam family "Bacterial small subunit ribosomal RNA", at positions 355 to 920 of the family's 1533-position model. The record is from RNAcentral.
UGGGGAAUUUUGGACAAUGGGGGAAACCCUGAUCCAGCCAUCCCGCGUGUGCGAUGAAGGCCUUCGGGUUGUAAAGCACUUUCAGCGAGGAGGAAGGUGGUGAGCUUAAUACGCUCAUCAAUUGACGUUACUCGCAGAAGAAGCACCGGCUAACUCCGCGCCAGCAGCCGCGGUAAUACGGAGGGUGCAAGCGUUAAUCGGAAUUACUGGGCGUAAAGCGCACGCAGGCGGUUUGUUAAGUCAGAUGUGAAAUCCCCGGGCUCAACCUGGGAACUGCAUUUGAAACUGGCAAGCUAGAGUCUCGUAGAGGGGGGUAGAAUUCCAGGUGUAGCGGUGAAAUGCGUAGAGAUCUGGAGGAAUACCGGUGGCGAAGGCGGCCCCCUGGACGAAGACUGACGCUCAGGUGCGAAAGCGUGGGGCAGCAAACAGGAUUAGAUACCCUGGUAGUCCACGCUGUAAACGAUGUCGAUUUGGAGGUUGUGCCCUUGAGGCGUGGCUUCCGGAGCUAACGCGUUAAAUCGACCGCCUGGGGAGUUACGGCCGCAAGGUUAAAACUCAAAUGAAUUGACGGGGUC